GGAUGUGAGGGUAAUCUGGCUGUGACAUCUGUCACCCCAUUGAUUGCCAGGAUUGAUUUGGCUGAUCUGGCUGGCUAGGCAGGUGUCCCCUCCCUCCCCCAGUGCUCCACAUUUGUCCCUCUCGAAGCUCUGUGCUCAGUCAAAAAGGACAAUCUUCUGUAAUAGAGAAGGACCAUCCUUUAGUCAAGGGUGUAUGAAUAGCUGUGCUCCCCCACUAAACCUCCAAACAUACUCUCAAAACAUGAAAAAGCUUUGGUACAAAACCGAAAGAAUGUUUGUGUGGAGGGAAACAGGUAGGGAAAGGGAACAGAAGUAAAUACUUAAACAAACAUGAUUUUUAUUUUUU
RNAcentral lists this small nuclear RNA (346 nucleotides) under Nannospalax galili (Upper Galilee mountains blind mole rat). RNAcentral's name for it is "7SK RNA (ENSNGAG00000007606.1)". It matches the Rfam family "7SK RNA". From Rfam's summary of the family: 7SK was discovered as an abundant small nuclear RNA in the mid-70s but a possible function has only recently been suggested. Two independent studies have found that 7SK RNA binds the CDK9/cyclin T complex (known as elongation factor P-TEFb). P-TEFb activates transcription by phosphorylating the C-terminal domain of RNA polymerase II. The record is from Rfam by way of RNAcentral. Lineage: Eukaryota; Metazoa; Chordata; Mammalia; Rodentia; Spalacidae.